Molecule: unclassified non-coding RNA, 613 nt
Filed under: Hevea brasiliensis (rubber tree)
Lineage: Eukaryota; Viridiplantae; Streptophyta; Magnoliopsida; Malpighiales; Euphorbiaceae
Source: RNAcentral
UAUAUGUGUCCUUUUUUAUUUUUUUUUUUUCUAGCACUUCAAGCAAUGAUUAUUUUGAUCUUCACAUAUCUACUAGAACCAUAAUGCCCUAUGUGAUAAAAAUUUAUGUUUUACCUAGUGCUAUGAUUGUUUGGUAGAAGUAUCCUGUCCCGUUUUGUCAAACAGAAAAUCUGCCCUAGCCUAAACAAUGUCCUUAAUUGUGUAUCUGGAGUUCAUUUUUCUUCAUUCUCUAAUUCAAGUGGCAUGUUUUCUGAUUAACAUUCUUUAUACAUAUGCUAUUUUGUUUCAGUCAACUUGUAUGUCAAAAUUAAAAAAUUUGCAUUGCCAGCAAUGCCUUUGAUUUUUGGAACAUAUUUUUCUUAUAGAAAAUUGUGUUUUCUAUCUGAGUUUUGCUGUGCUUUGUUUUUAAUUAAAGUUUCAUGAACUUGCUCAGUUUCUUCAUUUCAAUUAUGGUUCAUUAAACAGGUUAGCUGAAGGGGGAAAAUAUUGCACCUUACAAAUAAACAUUUGAUAUUGUUAAUACAAUAUACUACUCAACAUUCUGAUAUUUCUAUGUUGCAUGUGAUAAAGUAGCAUCUUGAUUAUAUGAUUUGGCAGGCAAAAGAAGCUGGUA